RNAcentral lists this long non-coding RNA (1241 nucleotides) under Piliocolobus tephrosceles (Ugandan red Colobus). Its description in RNAcentral is "lncRNA (ENSPTEG00000014234.1)". The record is from RNAcentral. Lineage: Eukaryota; Metazoa; Chordata; Mammalia; Primates; Cercopithecidae.
UAUAUUUUUUUUUUGUUUUUUUUUUGGUUUUUUUUUUUUCUGUUGUUUACACAGCACUAGGAAAAUUAAGCUCCGAAACAAAACAAACGAGUUUAAUUAAAUUGCAACAUAAAGUCAAUAGAAACUUUGAAAAACAAUUGGAAACAGAAGAAGAACAAUAUUAUGAUGACGAGGUGGCGAAAUAUGUCGAAGUAUCAGAAGUAGAUGAAGAGGAAAAUGAAGAAGUAAAACAACCGGAACAUGAAUACGAACAAGAACAAGAAGACGAACAAUCAUCAUGGUUUCAAGAACUGCAAAAGAAAUAUAAAAAUUAUAACAGUUAUGAAGAUAUAGAUAUACCUGGACAAGAUGGAGAAUAUGAAAAAUAUUAUUACGAACAUAUUGAAGAUGCAGAUAGUAAAACAAGUAUUUCGUAUCAUAAAGAUAAUGAUGGUUAUAACAACACCUCAAAUAAAAGCUAUGAUAGACUAAAACAUAAAGCUGAAAAAAGUAAAACAAUGCCUAAUGUCAAUGAAGUUAAAAAUAGUGACACUACAGAUGUAUUAUUAAAAGUAAUGUGUUAAAAAAAAAAAAAAAAAAAAAAAUUAUGUAUUGUACCUGUUCGCAUAUACCUUGUUAAUGACACUUUUAUGUAAUCUUUCAAAAAAUAAUAAUAUAAAUUCUAAUUUUUUUUUUUUUUUUUUUUUUUUUUAAAAAAAGGAUAUAAUUCUAGAUAUAAACAAGCAUACGAAAGAACAUAAAAAAAUAAGCUUUAUGUGUUUAGAAGAAAUUUUGAAAAAAAUUACCUUAAUUUUAAGCCAGCAAAUUAAAAUACAUAAAUUUUGCGCCUCCCAAAAAUCUAACAGCGAAUUAUUAUUUCAACACAUUUAUGACAUAAAACAACAAAUUGCUGACAAUGCUUUUAAAUCCUUAAGCAAUAAAGAAAACAUUAAAAGUUGCAUUCAAAAUGCGCACGAUGAAAAACAAAAUUAUGAUAAUUACCAAAAUAAACAUACCAAAAUAAAAAGUACAAGUGAAGAAUAUUUAAUAAAAUAUAAUGAAAAAAACAAAGUUAAAAAAAAUAACAACUCACAUUUAUUUUUGUUAUAUUUAAAUGAACUGGAAAAAAGUACUUACACAUUUACUCAUUUUUGUAGAAAUGUAAUUAAGCAAACUGAUUUGCACAAAACCAGUUCUUUAAAUAAUAUGGAGAAAAAGGUAUAAUAAAUGGAAUCAAACCAUAUAAAGUCAAUUUUUUUUUU